Long non-coding RNA from Passer domesticus (house sparrow), 1043 nucleotides. RefSeq lists it as uncharacterized. The record is from RefSeq and is a predicted model, not a curated record. The transcript is spliced from 2 exons. NCBI's taxonomy places the organism in Eukaryota, Metazoa, Chordata, Aves, Passeriformes, Passeridae.
AUUUAAAGCAGGAAACUCCCUCGCCUCACACAGACACGGCCGCAUUCAGCAGCGGCCAGCAUCUCCGCGGGAGGAAUGUCUGGCGCACAUUGCGCUAAUCCUCGCCCCCGAGCCGGGGUUUGCGCGGCCAUCGCCCAGGGCAGGGGCGCAAAGCCGCGUAUAUGUGUGUAUAUAUAGGUAAUAGGGCUUAAAGAAGCCCUGUUACCUAUAUAUACACACAUUUACGGAUAUAUUUUCAUGUGUGAGCUGGGAGCGGCUGGCAAAGCCAAGGCUGAUGGAAUUGCUGCGAGAAGAGAGGAACGGCGUAUAAAAACAAGCUCGCUCAAAGGCAACGCUGAAAACCUCACCUGCCCACAAACGCGUAUGGAUCACAGGCCGACACCUCCCAGCGCCUGCCUGAGAUCCGAGGCACGCUGCAUCCCGGCUUUCCUGCCCUGGAGAAACACGUGCGGCCGCGAGCAUCACACGGGCGCUGCAAACGCCGUCCGGAACAAGGGCCAGGCUGCCUGCCACCGACAGACCCUGCCAAUCCCAAUUUAUGGGCAGGAAACCUAUGCCAGGACAAACCAGCCGAGAUGACUCAAGUCGCCUCUCCCCCACCCUCGUGUUCCACAGAACAACAGCCCUCUUUAGCAGCGGGGAGUAGGAGCUCUUAGAGGAAUGACUCAAAGUUGCUCUCAGGGGUAGGGGAAAAACCCCCACAGAAGAGAAAACACCCAAGUCCCUCCCCACCCCCUCCUCUUUUUCACAUUGUAUUAAUUAAACACACAGCGACUGUCUUGAGGUAACAAAUACACUAAAGAGAAAUCUAGUUGGACCACAAGAUAAGUUUACAGAGGUCAAACCCAAGGGAAAACUAAUCCAACCACAUUUUCAAAUUUUUUGGACUAUUCCAUAGACCAAUAAAACCAUAAAAUGACAAAAACAUCCUAUCCUAGAAUAGCAUGAGGAUAGCAGAAAAUGUUAUGGUUAAUUAAAGGCAGAUGACUUAAUAAAAAUUUCACACUGUGUACAUACAGAACUCAGUAUCACUUUUUCAUCUA